This 1132-nucleotide ribosomal RNA is filed under the name marine metagenome. RNAcentral describes it as "bacterial SSU rRNA". It matches the Rfam family "Archaeal small subunit ribosomal RNA", at positions 332 to 1467 of the family's 1478-position model. The record is from RNAcentral.
GCAGCAGGCGCGAAACCUUUACAAUGCACGCAAGUGUGAUAAGGGAACUCCAAGUGCCAUUGCUUUUUGCAAUGGCUUUUUUUGAGUGUAAACAGCUCUAGGAAUAAGAGCUGGGUAAGACAGGUGCCAGCAGCCGCGGUAAUACCUGCAGCUCAAGUGGUCUGGAUUUUUAUUGGGUCUAAAGCGUUUGUAGCCGGACUCGCAAGUCUUCUGUGAAAUCUGACGGCUUAACCGUCAGGCGUGCAGGGGAAACUACAAGUCUAGGGACCGGGAAGGGCCAAAGAUACUCUAGGGGUAGGGGUGAAAUCCAAUAAUCCUUAGGGGAUCGCCAGUGGCGAAGGCGUUUGGCUAGAACGGGUCCGACGGUGAGGGACGAAAGCUAGGGGAGCGAACGGGAUUAGAUACCCCGGUAGUCCUAGCCGUAAAUGAUGUGGACUAGGUGUUGCAUUCCCCUUGUGGGAAUGCAGUGCCGAAGGGAAGCCGUUAAGUUCACCACCUGGGAAGUACGGUCGCAAGGCCGAAACUUAAAGGAAUUGACGGGGGAGCACAACAAGGGGUGGAGUCUGCGGUUUAAUUGGAUUAAACGCCGGAAAUCUCACCGGGAGCGACAACAGUAUGAAGGUCAGGCUGACGGUCUUACUCGACUCGUUGAGAGGUGGUGCAUGGCCGCCGUCAGUUCGUGCCGUAAGGUGUUCUGUUAAGUCAGAUAACGAACGAGACCCAUGCCAUUAGUUGCUAUCUGUUCCUUAGGGGGCAGAGCACUCUAAUGGGACCGCUGCUGCUAAAGCAGAGGAAGGUGUGGGCAACGGUAGGUCAGUAUGCCCCGAAUCUCCCGGGCUACACGCGGACUACAAUGGUUGAAACAAUGGGCUGCUACGCCGAGAGGCGACGCUAAUCUCUAAAUUCAAUCCAAGUUCGGAUCGAGGGCUGUAACCCGCCCUCGUGAAGCCGGAAUCCCCAGUAAUCGGACGUCACUAUCGUCCGGUGAAUAUGUCCCUGCUCCUUGUACACACCGCCCGUCAAAUCACCCGAGUUAGGUCUGGAUGAGGCCUCAGUUUUUGCUGAGGUCGAAUAUGGGCUUAGCAAGGGGGGUUAAGUCGUAACAAGGUAUCCGUAGGGGAACCUGCGGAUA